RNAcentral lists this ribosomal RNA (254 nucleotides) under uncultured bacterium. RNAcentral describes it as "partial 16S ribosomal RNA". It matches the Rfam family "Bacterial small subunit ribosomal RNA", at positions 524 to 776 of the family's 1533-position model. The record is from RNAcentral.
UACGUAGGGUGCGAGCGUUGUCCGGAAUUAUUGGGCGUAAAGAGCUCGUAGGCGGUCUGCCGCGUCGAUCGUGAAAACUUGGGGCUUAACCCUGAGCUUGCGGUCGAUACGGGCAUGACUGGAGUUCGGCAGGGGAGACUGGAAUUCCUGGUGUAGCGGUGAAAUGCGCAGAUAUCAGGAGGAACACCGGUGGCGAAGGCGGGUCUCUGGGCCGAUACUGACGCUGAGGAGCGAAAGCGUGGGGAGCGAACAGG